Xenopus laevis (African clawed frog) is the source of this 226-nucleotide long non-coding RNA. RefSeq lists it as uncharacterized. The transcript has 3 exons. Lineage: Eukaryota; Metazoa; Chordata; Amphibia; Anura; Pipidae. The record is from RefSeq and is a predicted model, not a curated record.
AUUGAAUUUAUUUUGUUUGUUCCUGGAUCACUUCGUUCCUUGUUCCUGUAUUCCUGAAAUCCUUGUUCCAGUGUUGUUGCUCCAGCAUUCCUUGCCCUCCUGUUUUCCUGACAGCAUCACAAUCGGCAUCAAGUACAAGGCUACUCUGGUGAAAACAUUCUCCAUAAAUGGCCCGAAGGCGCAGUUUGGAGUGCGGACCAAGGAGGAAGCAACUAGGCAAACUCAG